UACGUAGGGUGCUAGCGUUGUCCGGAUUUAUUGGGCGUAAAGAGCUCGUAGGCGGUUCGUCGCGUCGGCUGUGAAAACCCGGAGCUCAACUCCGGGCCUGCAGUCGAUACGGGCGGACUAGAGCUCGGCAGGGGAGACUGGAAUUCCUGGUGUAGCGGUGAAAUGCGCAGAUAUCAGGAGGAACACCGGUGGCGAAGGCGGGUCUCUGGGCCGAUACUGACGCUGAGGAGCGAAAGCGUGGGGAGCGAACAGG
This 253-nucleotide ribosomal RNA is filed under the name uncultured bacterium. RNAcentral describes it as "partial 16S ribosomal RNA". It matches the Rfam family "Bacterial small subunit ribosomal RNA", at positions 524 to 776 of the family's 1533-position model. The record is from RNAcentral.